Myotis brandtii (Brandt's bat) is the source of this 363-nucleotide long non-coding RNA. RefSeq lists it as uncharacterized. The record is from RefSeq and is a predicted model, not a curated record. The transcript is spliced from 3 exons. NCBI's taxonomy places the organism in Eukaryota, Metazoa, Chordata, Mammalia, Chiroptera, Vespertilionidae.
UACCUCAAUCCCUGCUCUCAGCAUUACUACACAAAACACUCCUCCGACAGAGCACAUGCUGUCAUGAUUCAUGCAUUUCUUUUCUGUGCCUUUAGCUCCCACUUCCAUCAAACUGACUUUUUCCCCCCUGCCCCAGAGAGCCAAGUGCAAUGUCUUCUAUAGAGACACAAUAUCUGCUGAUUGUUCAGAAUGAAGUUAUUCUAACAGGAGCCACUGUUUGGUUCUCAGAAGACUGGCAUGGCCAUGAUUUCCUGGAUUCCUAUUGUUGUUUUUUUGCCAAAAGCUGCUGCCAUACUCCCACUUUGAAUCAUAGCUGGUUAGGGCAAUGAAGAGACCUGAGACAAGAUCACACGUCUGGACUCC